This 37-nucleotide small RNA is filed under the name Bacillus sp. MUM 13. RNAcentral describes it as "Bacillaceae-1 RNA". It matches the Rfam family "Bacillaceae-1 RNA", at positions 31 to 67 of the family's 67-position model. The record is from Rfam by way of RNAcentral. Lineage: Bacteria; Bacillati; Bacillota; Bacilli; Caryophanales; Bacillaceae.
UCCUGCGGCAACGUCUUUGUGACCCCCAUCCUGGGGG